UACAGAGGGUGCAAGCGUUGCUCGGAUUUACUGGGCGUAAAGCGUACGCAGACGGUUUGGUAGGUCGGACGUGAAAGCCCCGGGCUCAACCCGGGAAAUGCGUCCGAAACCCCCUUACUCGAGUAUGGGAGAGGGAAGCGGAAUUCCUGGUGUAGAGGUGAAAUUCGUAGAUAUCAGGAGGAACAUCGGCGGCGAAGGCGGGUCUCUGGGCAACAACUGACGCUGGAGGAGCGAAAGCGUGGGGAGCGAACAGG
This 254-nucleotide ribosomal RNA is filed under the name uncultured bacterium. RNAcentral describes it as "partial 16S ribosomal RNA". It matches the Rfam family "Bacterial small subunit ribosomal RNA", at positions 524 to 776 of the family's 1533-position model. The record is from RNAcentral.